This 305-nucleotide ribosomal RNA is filed under the name uncultured bacterium. RNAcentral's name for it is "bacterial SSU rRNA". It matches the Rfam family "Bacterial small subunit ribosomal RNA", at positions 337 to 659 of the family's 1533-position model. The record is from RNAcentral.
GCCUACGGGGGGCAGCAGUGGGGAAUAUUGGACAAUGGGGGAAACUCUGAUCCAGCGACGCCGCGUGAGUGAAGAAGUAUUUCGGUAUGUAAAGCUCUAUCAGCAGAGAAGAAAAUGACGGUACCUGACUAAGAAGCCCCGGCUAACUACGUGCCAGCAGCCGCGGUAAUACGUAGGGGGCAAGCGUUAUCCGGAUUUACUGGGUGUAAAGGGAGCGUAGGCGGCCAUGCAAGUCAGAAGUGAAAACCCGGGGCUCAACCCUGGGAGUGCUUUUGAAACUGUGCGGCUAGAGUGUCGGAGGGGUA